Acinonyx jubatus (cheetah) is the source of this 834-nucleotide long non-coding RNA. RefSeq lists it as uncharacterized. NCBI's taxonomy places the organism in Eukaryota, Metazoa, Chordata, Mammalia, Carnivora, Felidae. The record is from RefSeq and is a predicted model, not a curated record. The transcript is spliced from 3 exons.
ACAGUUUUGUGAUCAGCAGAAGACAUCACUAUAGUUAACAGGAGCAGAAAAGGCAGGAGUGGAAAAGAGAUAAGCAAUGAGGUCAUUGUAUUUGACAUUGCUUUUGUCUGUCAGCAUCAUUUCCUUGAGAGGACCCCUUUCCUCCUCCUUGCUUUGCAAGUGGAGUUGUCUGUCAUGGUGUCCCAUUUUGGCCAGGUGGGCCAGUCAGAGUGUAGCUUUCUCCUGGACUCAGUGAUUGGUCCAGAGGUGGUUAUAUGCCUCAAAAAGUACGAAUCCCUGUCCUUCCAUAGGAUUUUAUGUCUGCACGCCACAUGAGAUGGCAAGAUUCAGGUUCUUUGUGUAUUUGUUAUAAAUGGCUAUGUAACAAAUUACUGUAGAAUAUGGUGGUUUAAAUAAUAACGUUACUUAUUAUCUCUUACAGUUUCUGCAGGUCAGAACUUCAGACAGGCACAGUGGGAUGGAUUGUCCCUGUUCUAGGAUGACUGUGUUAUCAGCUGGAAGACUUCACAGCUGGGGACUAGAAUCAUCUGAAGACUCAUCCACCCACAUGUUUGGUUGUUGAUGCUGGCUGUCAGAACCCAGCUGCCAUGCUGCAUGGAGAAGACAAAUGGACAGGAAUUGAGGCACUCUGGUUGACAGUCUCACUGAGCAUCCAGCUGACCCCAGCCACCGACCAGGAUUCCUGAAGUCUCAGACCACAGCUGAUGCCCUUUCUCAGAGAAUGGUCUAUGAAUCACUCUGAGACUGGAGAGGAGGCCUGGGGAUAAGGAUGAGGGGUGCAUUCAGAGAAAGACUUUUGUGUGCAUCUUGUUUCAGUGAAAGUCACUGAAGCAG